This 253-nucleotide ribosomal RNA is filed under the name uncultured bacterium. Its description in RNAcentral is "partial 16S ribosomal RNA". It matches the Rfam family "Bacterial small subunit ribosomal RNA", at positions 524 to 776 of the family's 1533-position model. The record is from RNAcentral.
UACGUAGGGGGCAAGCGUUGUCCGGAAUUAUUGGGCGUAAAGCGCGUGUAGGCGGUCCGGUAAGUCCGCUGUGAAAGUCGGGGGCUCAACCCUCGGAUGCCGGUGGAUACUGUCGGGCUUGAGUACGGAAGAGGCGAGUGGAAUUCCCGGUGUAGCGGUGAAAUGCGCAGAUAUCGGGAGGAACACCAAUGGCGAAGGCAGCUCGCUGGGACGGUACUGACGCUGAGACGCGAAAGCGUGGGGAGCAAACAGG